RNAcentral lists this ribosomal RNA (457 nucleotides) under uncultured bacterium. RNAcentral's name for it is "partial 16S ribosomal RNA". It matches the Rfam family "Bacterial small subunit ribosomal RNA", at positions 338 to 795 of the family's 1533-position model. The record is from RNAcentral.
CCUACGGGUGGCAGCAGUGGGGAAUAUUGCACAAUGGGGGAAACCCUGAUGCAGCGACGCCGCGUGAGUGAAGAAGUAUUUCGGUACGUAAAGCUCUAUCAGCAGGGAAGAAAAAAAGUCCUUUGGACUUUGGACGGUACCUGAAGAAGAAGCCCCGGCUAACUACGUGCCAGCAGCCGCGGUAAUACGUAGGGGGCAAGCGUUAUCCGGAUUUACUGGGUGUAAAGGGGGCGCAGACGGCGAUGCAAGCCAGGAGUGAAAGCCCGGGGCCCAACCCCGGGACUGCUCUUGGAACUGCGUGGCUGGAGUGCAGGAGGGGCAGGCGGAAUUCCUGGUGUAGCGGUGAAAUGCGUAGAUAUCAGGAGGAACACCGGUGGCGAAGGCGGCCUGCUGGACUGCAACUGACGUUGAGGCCCGAAAGCGUGGGGAGCAAACAGGAUUAGAUACCCGGGUAGUC